CAGCUGCUGCUAAAAACAUUGCUAUGCCUAAUGUGGAUGAUGAUGAUGACUUUGAGCCACCCAAAAAGAAGUGCAAUAUCUCAAUGGAUGCCCCAAAUAAGACGCAGUGACUUAUGUGAGGCUGCCCAGAGAUGGCACAACAGGAGCAUUAACAAUGUGUCGGCGACGAUAUAUGGCUGUUCCAUCAUUGUUUUUCUGUAUUAUUUGGAUCAUUUGCAUCAUGCUGCUGCUCCAAACAACAAAAAUGGCACUCCACGCAUAAAGUAUUUUAAUAAGAAUAUUAUAAGGGCGUUGUCAAUGGCCGAUAAGUGGAAGCCUCGCCAGGGUGGUGAACCAUUUGG
Long non-coding RNA from Zea mays, 341 nucleotides. RefSeq lists it as uncharacterized. The record is from RefSeq and is a predicted model, not a curated record. Lineage: Eukaryota; Viridiplantae; Streptophyta; Magnoliopsida; Poales; Poaceae. The transcript is spliced from 3 exons.